Molecule: non-coding RNA, 115 nt
Organism: Triticum aestivum (bread wheat)
Lineage: Eukaryota; Viridiplantae; Streptophyta; Magnoliopsida; Poales; Poaceae
Source: Rfam
AUAAUACUCCCUCCGUCCGGAAUUACUUGUCAUCAAAAUGGAUGUGUCUAGAACUAAAAUACAUCUAGAUACAUCCAUUUCAAUGACAAGUAUUUUCAAACGGAUGGAGUAGUAG